RNAcentral lists this ribosomal RNA (446 nucleotides) under uncultured bacterium. Its description in RNAcentral is "partial 16S ribosomal RNA". It matches the Rfam family "Bacterial small subunit ribosomal RNA", at positions 338 to 795 of the family's 1533-position model. The record is from RNAcentral.
CCUACGGGUGGCAGCAGUCGAGAAUCAUUCACAAUGGGGGAAACCCUGAUGGUGCGACGCCGCGUGGGGGAAUGAAGGUCUUCGGAUUGUAAACCCCUGUCAUGUGGGAGCGAAUUAACAAGAUAGUACCACAAGAGGAAGAGACGGCUAACUCCGUGCCAGCAGCCGCGGUAAUACAGAGGUCGCAAGCGUUGUUCGGAAUCACUGGGCGUAAGGGGUGCGUAGGCUGUUUAGCAAGUCGUGUGUGAAAGGCGCGGGCUCAACCCGCGGACGGCACAUAAUACGGCGAGACUAGAGUGAAGGAGGGGGAAGCGGAAUUCUCGGUGUAGCAGUGAAAUGCGUAGAUAUCGAGAGGAACACUAGUGGCGAAGGCGAGUUACUGGACAUUAACUGACGCUGAGGCACGAGGGCCAGGGGAGCGAAAGGGAUUAGAUACCCCAGUAGUC